RNAcentral lists this long non-coding RNA (748 nucleotides) under Monodelphis domestica (gray short-tailed opossum). RNAcentral describes it as "lncRNA (ENSMODG00000045932.1)". The record is from RNAcentral. Lineage: Eukaryota; Metazoa; Chordata; Mammalia; Didelphimorphia; Didelphidae.
CAUAACUGUGGAUUUUUAAUUGAUUUGAUUUACAUAUUCAUAAUAUGAAUUUUUUAUUUUUAAGGCCUCACUUAGGACUCCUAUGAAGAUAUAAAGACUGAUAAAUGAAAUAACAAGAAUGAUAACAAAACAUUUAUAUAACAUUUUGAGGUUUGUAAACUGCUUUAUAUCUUAUUUUAUUUGAUCCUCUAAAUAACCUAUGAGAUGAUUUUUAUUAAUGUCCCCACAUUACAAAUGAAGAAACCCUUCAAAAAGAUUAAAUGACUUGUCUAGGAUCAAACCACAAGUAAGGGUCUGAGGCAAUAAUCAGAAUCAGGACUCCUUAAAUACAAUGCCAUUAUUCUAUCCAUAUCACCAUCUAGUUGAAUCUAAGAAUAUAGUUUGAUGAUUUUUCUAUUUUUUACAAUCUUACAAUACAGUCAUUUAUGCUGCCCUGGAGAAUGUCUAUUGCAGAGACUAAAUGAGAAGGGUAUUCCAACUACAUGUUCAGUCAUGUAUAGAAAUGAAAUUGGAAAAUACAACUAAUAAAUGGAUAUAUAGCUCCUACUUUCAACUGACAUUGCACUAAAAGAAAAAGUAUGUGAAGAAAUAUUUUGGGAUUCUGCUCAGGAUAAAAACAUGGAAAAAUUGAGCAUGCUUUGGGGAAAAAAAUCCACAACUAUUCCUGCAUUUAAAGGAUGGCAUUCUGAGUAUGGAAUUUAUAUUUCAUUGAAAUAAAUUCUGCUUCAGCUCAAAAUAAUUUUAAUAA